CAUUAUGUAGCACCUUAUAAGGGUGUACAAGGUGCAAUUAUUCCAUUAUAAUUUUUUUUAAAAACAUGCGCAUCUGACAGUGGAUUUGCAAUACGUGUCAUGUAGUAUUGACCAUUCAACAUGAGGUAACACCGCUCUGUUGUUACCAUGGAUCAGCCAAUCGGGGUCGACGAUUCCUUGAAGAUAAAACUCAAGAUAACCUGGGUACAGGAAUGAAUAGAACAAUAAAAAAAAAAACUUUGAUAUAUUUCAUCUUACAAAUCACAAAAUGAUACAAAGAAUAUAAAUAACUUUUGGGUUUGAAGGUCAGAUUUUUCUUUGCAUUUGUCUAGGGCUCAUCUGCUCAAAUAAUGUAGGCUGCAAUUAUCACAAUAACAAAAAAAAAACACCUUGAUACUUUACAAAAUCUUGCAACUUCAAAUCCUCACGUUUCUCUUUAAAAAAAAAUCGGCAUGAGCGAGGAUUUAUGCCUUGUGUUUUCAGACAUGGGGGUCGUUCACAGUAGUAAAUACCAAAAAAAAAAAUUUAAUCGUGCCACAUUCCCAUAAACAAAUUAUUUUGUGUGGUACUAAAUCUGGAUAAGCCUCUUAAUACUCCAUAAUCCGUACAAUUUGAAUCUACAAAAGCAAUGAAGGACAUUCAGAAGAAAAAAAACUCUUUCAAAAAUAUUGAAGUUGAGGACAUUUUUCGGCCGUGUGAAGAUUUCUUGUAAAUCCAUGUUGACACGAUUUGGAGUGCACUUCCAUUGAGAAGGGUCGUUGAGAAAGCCGAGAGUAUGCAUUGAGCUGAAAUCUUUUUACCUUGGGAAUAAAAGGACAGGAAUGUUUCUUAAGCAAUAACAGUCCAGUUCAAUAUUUCUUUACAAUUAAAAGCUUUGUUAAAGGAAGUUAAGUGUUCAUGCCCGUUCGAAAACUCAGUGGGACAUUCAAGGUUUUUUUCCCCAUGAAGGUUCUUUGCUAAUCCAUCUUGUGCACAAACUGUACUCUAAAAUAUGUUAGUUUGGUUUUUUUAUAUUUGGGGUCGAUGUGAAAAAAAAAUCUGUUUAACUUCUUGUGGUUGAAGCAUAAAAUAGGUUAUGGGAACCGGUUUAUUUUGGCUUAAAAGGGUGCUUGCUUUAGACAACAACUCAAUGUAAUCGUUUGAAUGUCUUGUGGUAUUCUUUUCAUUACGUCUAUUUGUAAUCAAAUCCAUA
Long non-coding RNA from Patiria miniata (bat star), 1192 nucleotides. RefSeq lists it as uncharacterized. The transcript is spliced from 2 exons. The record is from RefSeq and is a predicted model, not a curated record. NCBI's taxonomy places the organism in Eukaryota, Metazoa, Echinodermata, Asteroidea, Valvatida, Asterinidae.